GCUUACGACCACACCGGCCUGAGUACGCCUGAUCUCGUCUGAUCUCGGAAGCUAAGCAGGGUCGGGCCUGGUUAGUGGAUGGGAGACUUCCUGGGAAUACCAGGUGCUGUAAGCU
This is a ribosomal RNA of Oncorhynchus tshawytscha (Chinook salmon), 115 nucleotides long. The record is from Ensembl. NCBI's taxonomy places the organism in Eukaryota, Metazoa, Chordata, Actinopteri, Salmoniformes, Salmonidae.